RNAcentral lists this unclassified non-coding RNA (244 nucleotides) under Hevea brasiliensis (rubber tree). Lineage: Eukaryota; Viridiplantae; Streptophyta; Magnoliopsida; Malpighiales; Euphorbiaceae. The record is from RNAcentral.
AUCGUUUCCUCCGACUGAGCCUGCACAAUCUACGAGCUUGGUGGCAGCUGGUAGGAACAUGAAUAAUGUUUUAUUUAGAAGAGAAAAUCCUCUGUCCGGCUUGCAGCUUGCUUAGUGUGGUUUUCAUUAUUGAAGAGAAUCCAAAUCCAGCCCAUUUAAAACAAAAUGGUUCCGAUUUUGCAUUUCCUUUUUAAGCUUUUCAUGGAAACAAGCAUUGUCUGAUUGGCAUUUUAUUAAAUAGAAA